This 502-nucleotide ribosomal RNA is filed under the name uncultured bacterium. RNAcentral describes it as "partial 16S ribosomal RNA". It matches the Rfam family "Bacterial small subunit ribosomal RNA", at positions 28 to 507 of the family's 1533-position model. The record is from RNAcentral.
GAUGAAUGCUGGCAGCGUGCCUAACACAUGCAAGUCGAGCGGCAGCGAGUUUUACACUGACUUCUGGAAGCUUCUGAGUAGUACAGAAGAUUUAUUCAAGAGUUUUGUGUAAAAUGUCGGCGAGCGGCGGACGGCUGAGUAACGCGUAGGAAUUUGCCCCAAAGUGAGGAAUAACUGCCCGAAAGGGUAUCUAAUGCCGCAUAUGGUCUUCGGAUUAAAGCCUUGGGGCGCUUUGGGAGAAGCCUGCGUUGGAUUAGGUAGUUGGUAGGGUAAUGGCCUACCAAGCGGACGAUCCAUAGCUGGUAUGAGAGGAUGAUCAGACAGACUGGAACUGAGACACGGUCCAGCCUCCUACGGGAAGCAGCAGUGAGGAAUCUUCCACAAUGGGCGAAAGCCUGAUGGAGCAACGCCGCGUGAAGGAUGAAGGCCUUCGGGUUGUAAACUUCUUUUAUGAGUGAAGAAUAUGACGGUAACUCAUGAAUAAGCACCGGCUAACUACGUG